RNAcentral lists this long non-coding RNA (364 nucleotides) under Salvia miltiorrhiza (redroot sage). RNAcentral describes it as "long non-coding RNA (SMIL_LNC012317)". The record is from RNAcentral. Lineage: Eukaryota; Viridiplantae; Streptophyta; Magnoliopsida; Lamiales; Lamiaceae.
GUUUGAAAAGUGCAAGGAAGUUAUUCACAAUAAGCCAACAAGGAUGAAUGUAUUGGAUAAAGGGCUCGACGAUUUGUUUGUCAAGUUAUCUGAUACAACGGCAGCCUCGGUGGAGCAUGGCAACUCUACCAAUGAAGACGGUGAACCUAGCACUGGAGUUCAUGUUUUAGAUCCACAUAUUUCGAAAUCAAGGGGCAGGCCAAGAGAGAAUCGUGUGAGGAGUGCCGCCGAGAAGAAUCGAGGGCGAAGUAAGAAUACUCGAGGGGGGAGUACAGGAAGAGUUGGAAAAGGAGGUAGAGGUGGAAGGGGUGUUGCUGUCGGGCACGACGCCAAUGUUGGAACAAAAGAGAGUGCCGCUAAUUAG